UGCAAGUCGAGCGAACGGAACGCAGAAGCUUGCUUCUCUGAUGUUAGCGGCGGAGGGAGAGAAACACGUGGAUAACCUACCUAUAAGACUGGGAUAACUUCGGGAAACCGGAGCUAAUACCGGAUAAUAUUUUGAACCGCAUGGUUCAAAAGUGAAAGACGGUCUUGCUGUCACUUAUAGAUGGAUCCGCGCUGCAUUAGCUAGUUGGUAAGGUAACGGCUUACCAAGGCAACGAUGCAUAGGCGACCUGAGAGGGUGAUCGGCCACACUGGAACUGAGACACGGUCCAGACUCCUACGGGAGGCAGCAGUAGGGAAUCUUCCGCAAUGGGCGAAAGCCUGACGGAGCAACGCCGCGUGAGUGAUGAAGGUCUUCGGAUCGUAAAACUCUGUUAUUAGGGAAGAACAUAUGUGUAAGUAACUGUGCACAUCUUGACGGUACCUAAUCAGAAAGCCACGGCUAACUACGUGCCAGCAGCCGCGGUAAUACGUAGGUGGCAAGCGUUAUCCGGAAUUAUUGGGCGUAAAGCGCGCGUAGGCGGUUUUUUAAGUCUGAUGUGAAAGCCCACGGCUCAACCGUGGAGGGUCAUUGGAAACUGGAAAACUUGAGUGCAGAAGAGGAAAGUGGAAUUCCAUGUGUAGCGGUGAAAUGCGCAGAGAUAUGGAGGAACACCAGUGGCGAAGGCGACUUUCUGGUCUGUAACUGACGCUGAUGUGCGAAAGCGUGGGGAUCAAACAGGAUUAGAUACCCUGGUAGUCCACGCCGUAAACGAUGAGUGCUAAGUGUUAGGGGGUUUCCGCCCCUUAGUGCUGCAGCUAACGCAUUAAGCACUCCGCCUGGGGAGUACGACCGCAAGGUUGAAACUCAAAGGAAUUGACGGGGGACCCGCACAAGCGGUGGAGCAUGUGGUUUAAUUCGAAGCAACGCGGAAGAACCUUACCAAAUCUUGACAUCCUUUG
Molecule: ribosomal RNA, 959 nt
Filed under: Staphylococcus aureus
Lineage: Bacteria; Bacillati; Bacillota; Bacilli; Caryophanales; Staphylococcaceae
Description: bacterial SSU rRNA
Rfam family: Bacterial small subunit ribosomal RNA
Source: RNAcentral